This is a long non-coding RNA of Heterocephalus glaber (naked mole-rat), 277 nucleotides long. The record is from Ensembl. Lineage: Eukaryota; Metazoa; Chordata; Mammalia; Rodentia; Bathyergidae.
GUUUGGGGUUUGAAUGUGGAGGCAGUUCUGAUUUCCCACUGAUUUUGCCCACCAAACCCAAAAUUAUCCUGCUUACGUAUCUCAGGAAGCGUGUUAGUGGUCUGCAUAUCUACUGCAGCUCUGGGGACCUCAGUGCCACAGGUCUCUGAAGGCCACAGUGCUCCAGCUCUGGUCCGGUCCCACAGCUCCUUGGGGAGUCUGUGGUUCUCAGUGCUGACCAUGAAGAAUGAGCAGUACCACAUCACAUGGCACAAGGAGGAAACAUCCACACACCCCC